CAAACUAAGGCACGCUGCCUGCUUUUAUCUAUAGGCUGUUUCAACUUGUCAAUUUCAAACAAGUUUUAUUUUCAAACAACAGUUUGAAUUUAGGUGUGUUCCGCCUCCUCAUUAAUUCACAUAAAAAUAGGCCAUUUUACUUUUGCAGACAAUUUAUGUUCUGGGCUUUACUGAGCCUGACAAACUUCCCCAAGCACUUCCCAAUUGUUUCCGCAGAUCAAGUAUGCAGACAUUUGCGCACCUCCAGUCAGAACAGGACCUGCACAAACUUUUCACAUUUUCUGGCUGGUGCUUGCUUCGCCUUCAUAGUUGUUUUCAUUACUACAUGAUAAUAACUUGGACAUGUGUUCGUUUCUAUUAAAAAACCACACACACCAACAGUAUCGAACAGUAUUUGCCAAUAUCAUAACUGGAGCUGAAAACUGAGGCCAGCUUUUGUAUGCUAGUGUACACUCCUUAACAGUUGUACUGGAUGAAAACACAGCAAGAAAACAAAGAGGCCUAUAUGUAGUAGUCGUCUAUUUUAUUGAAGUAUUGGUGGUGGUCGAACAACAACAACAAAAACAACAACAACCACCACCCCCCCAUUCUCCCCCACAUAGUAUCAUGGCAGAUUACCAGUCAAGUCACCAGUCAAGUCAGUCAGUCAGUAAUUGCUGCAGAUGUGCUCAAUAGUGCUUGAGCAUAUUUGUACUCCCAAAAGCAUGGUGAAACACAUAGAGGUGUGUCACAAGCUGAACACAUGUACUCUGUCAACCUCGUAUGCUUCCUUUUCCUGAUGCCAUACAGGCAGACUUUGCCGUGCCUCCGUGUGCGACUUGACGGCAACAGUUUGACGGACUUUGCAGGGAAAAUGCCGUGCAGUGAGGUGUAGGGGAUUGUCUGCAGCAGGACGGCCCCCAUUGGUUCGGCGCUGAGGGGUGUGGUGCUCCUCCAGCAGCUCUCUCAUGAGGUUUUCUCUGUACUUUUGGUGGUCCACCUUCCCUGUGGCCGACAUGGUUGCUGUCUGGACAGUGGAGAGGACAUGAACGUCUCGUUUGUCAUGCCACUUUACUGCCAGUUGUUGACUGUUCUCCUUGAACGCCACCUCCCCUCUCUGCAUCUUCCUCCAUCCGAAUGCUGGCAUCCCCUUCCUGUUAGACCUGACUGUGCCACAGGCUCCUGUGCUGUUGGAAGAGCAGAAGCUGGAAGAGUGUGGGACUGCUGUACCAACUGUCCCCAUACAAAGUGUGUCCCUUGCUGAGAUGAGGAGCCAGCAUGGUCAUCACCGUGGACCUGGACACCACAAGACCCUCAUAAUGUUGGACGUUACCGUGCUUCUACACCUGCAUUGCUUGCUGUUUGGGGUUUUAGGCUGGGUUUCUGUACAGCACUUUGAGAUAUCAGCUGAUGUACGAAGGGCUAUAUAAAUACAUUUUAUUUUAUUUUAUUUUGAUUUGACGUCAGUAGUGGACCCUGGGUAAACUAUAAUGUCCCGGACAAAUCCUGUCUUCACGUCACACAUGACAAAGAACUUGACCCCAAACCUUUGCCUUUUGGAGGCAAUAUAUUGACGGAACGCCAGCCUACCCUUCCAUAACAUCAGGGACUCAUCAAUGAAUAGGUCCUUGUAAGGCACAAAGAACUGACCAAAUGUUGAUGUAAGAACAUUUCUUUUAUUUUGUGUAACAGUCAUUUAGAUUGGCAGUAGCAUUGUUGACGAAAUGUAGGCAUUUGCAGCAGAACUAGGAAGCGGUCUUGGGAAAAGAGGGUGGCAAAGAAGAGAGUUGUAAACAUCUCUGUGCUCUGUGUUCCAGUAUUUUCUUAGGGAAUUCUUCUUUACUAUCCCCAUGAGAAGGACUGUCACCAGGAAGGUAUACAUUUCACUAAUUGUGGUUGCCACCCAUUUAGCAAGUCUCCCCCUCACUCCUGGCUCUCUAGCUCCAAGGCAUAGCGAUUGGUCUCCUCUACUAUAUGUCUCCCACCAGCUCCUCUGUCAGAAACCGCUUGAAGCACUCUGCCACAGAGGGAAAUGGCAAGGGGCUUUUGUACUCCAGACUGGAACUCAUCAAAGCAAACAGCAGGGUUAGGAGGACUGAAAUGGCUGGCGGCCUUCCAGCUACCACAGACUUCCUGUACUUCAUCCACUGCCGGUCUGCCUCCAUCACCAUCAGCAUCUUCAAAGUGACCUGGGACUUCAUCAGUGGACAAGGGGUCUUCAGAUUCAGGGUUCUCAAUGGCUACAAGGUUUGGGGGCAACUCCUCACUUUCACUGUCACUGUCAAAAUCUUAUUACUGACUUUCAUACUCUGACUCAUUGUCAGAAUUUAUAAAAAAAUCUCCAGAAUUUCCACAUUUGUAAGUCUCCUUUUAAAAGACAUUGCGAAAGCUACAGCUUAGCUCACUAGCUACACACAUAAAUAACAACACUGAAUGGCUCAGAGUGGGAGUGAGAGGUUACGUGAUUGACUGCAUGCACGCUCCACUUGUAUCAAUAAAUCACUGUCAGAAAAUGUUUUGUUUGGUAAUUAUUUAUUUAUUUACUGUUUUAUUCACGUUUUCAAGUACUGGUGACAAAUCAUGCAUUCCGAUUCUUUCAUAGAUUACAAUGGACACAUAUUAUGUGUGUAAAAUACUUUUUUUAAUGAUUGUACUGAUUAUGAUGAGUUAAGCUAAUUCUAGCUAUGUGUGGAGCCAGGUUUGUUGACAUACAAUGCAUUCUGGGUUUCACGUCUGUCGGACCGAAGAUUUUUCAAGUAAACUUCCAGAAGUGAAUGAUGGGAUGUGAACGAUGGUAGACAACACACUCCCUUCAACAUGCAUACUAUAAAUAGACCAAACUCAUCUUGUCUCCUCCUAUAAUCUUUGGUUGAUGCAAAAAAAUAAACAUGGCGGCACGCACAAACUACCCAUCGUCGGAUAACUUUCGAUUUCUAGAAACUGUUUUACUCAAUUAUUUUGAUCAAUGGUGAGCUCACCCAUGAUGUGACUAAUUAUGCUGUAGCUACUUCUGUGAAUGUCUGAACAUUGCAUCCAAAAAUAAACUGG
Molecule: long non-coding RNA, 3027 nt
Organism: Oncorhynchus tshawytscha (Chinook salmon)
Lineage: Eukaryota; Metazoa; Chordata; Actinopteri; Salmoniformes; Salmonidae
Source: Ensembl